GGAAAACGCGGAGAAUCGGUUUAAGAAGCACAACUGGACCAUUAAGGGAAUCCGAGAGGAAACGCCAUCGAAGGAGGAACUACGAAAUGAAAAAUUGGGAUCGAUUGUUCGCUCGGAAUAAAAUUCUGAAUAUAAGAUAAGUUCUUUGGAAGGAUGAACGUGAAACGAGGAACUUAGAAUACAUUAAAGUUUAAAGUAUUCCAGAUUCCUUCGAGUAAAGGAACUUAAAGCAAGGAAUUUAAAACAAGUUUCUACGAACAAGAACCUUGA
Molecule: unclassified non-coding RNA, 270 nt
Filed under: Bombus terrestris (buff-tailed bumblebee)
Lineage: Eukaryota; Metazoa; Arthropoda; Insecta; Hymenoptera; Apidae
Description: misc RNA ENSBTSG00005023295.1
Source: RNAcentral